RNAcentral lists this ribosomal RNA (499 nucleotides) under uncultured Glomeromycotina. Its description in RNAcentral is "partial small subunit ribosomal RNA". It matches the Rfam family "Eukaryotic small subunit ribosomal RNA", at positions 591 to 1093 of the family's 1831-position model. The record is from RNAcentral. Lineage: Eukaryota; Fungi; Glomeromycota.
CCAAUAGCGUAUAUUAAAGUUGUUGCAGUUAAAAAGCUCGUAGUUGAAUUUUAGGCCUGGCCGGGCGGUCCGUCUUUGGCGAGUACUGUCUUGUUGUCGGGUCUUCCUUCUGGUGAACCAGUAUGCCCUUUAUUGGGUGUGUUGGGGAGCCAGGACCAUUACCUUGAAAAAAUUAGAGUGUUUAAAGCGGGCUAUUGCUUGAAUAGAUUAGCAUGGAAUAAUAGAAUAGGACGUUGUGGUUCUAUUUUGUUGGUUUCUAGGACCACCGUAAUGAUUAAUAGGGAUAGUUGGGGGCAUUAGUAUUCAAUUGUCAGAGGUGAAAUUCUUGGAUUUAUUGAAGACUAACUACUGCGAAAGCAUUUGCCAAGGAUGUUUUCAUUAAUCAAGAACGAAAGUUAGGGGAUCGAAGACGAUCAGAUACCGUCGUAGUCUUAACCAUAAACUAUGCCGACUAGGAAUCUGGCGACGUUAUUUUCAUGACUCGCUCGGCGCCUUAUGG